AGAGAGAGACAUGCGCGCAUAUCAAUAAGCGGAGGAAAAGAAACUAACAAGGAUUCCCUUAGUAACGGCGAGUGAAGCGGGAAGAGCUCAGAUUUGAAAUCUUCAAGGUUUUACCUUGACGAAUUGUAGUUUAAAGAAGUGUUUUCUGCUGAAGUUUUGGUAAAAGUUCUUUGGAAUAGGACAUCAUAGAGGGUGAGAAUCCCGUAUUUGACCAUUAUUUUCAGCUUUGUGAUACACUUUCAAAGAGUCGGAUUGUUUGGGAAUGCAGUCCAAAAUGGGUGGUAAAUUUCAUCUAAAGCUAAAUAUUGGCGAGGAGACCGAUAGCGAACAAGUACCGUGAGGGAAAGAUGAAAAGAACUUUGAAAAGAGAGCUAAACAGUACGUGAAAUUGUCAAAAGGGAAGCGUUUGACACCAGUGUUGUUUUCUCGAAAAUCAAUUAAAAAUGGCAGGAUUUUGUAUUGUAUUGACUUUAAUCAGCUUCACUGCUACAUCUUUUCGUGUCUUUUUUAAUGCACUUUUCGUUUAACAAGUCAACAUCAGUUUCUUUUGUUGUAAAAGGGUCAUUGGAAGGUGGCUUUCUUUUCGGAGAAAGUGUUUAUAGCCUUUGGCCUCUGCAAUCGGAGAGACUGAGGUCUGCAGCGUAGACUCUUCGGGGUUAGAUACAUUUGUGCUAAGUUAUAGCUUUUUAUAGACAACUUGUUGACUAUAAUUAGUCUUGUAGCUUACUCGCUUAUGCUAUUUUACCUACGCUUAGGAUGUUGAAGAUGUAGCACAUCAU
Molecule: ribosomal RNA, 779 nt
Filed under: uncultured Neocallimastigales
Lineage: Eukaryota; Fungi; Neocallimastigomycota; Neocallimastigomycetes; Neocallimastigales
Description: partial large subunit ribosomal RNA
Rfam family: Eukaryotic large subunit ribosomal RNA
Source: RNAcentral